CUCGUCGUGGUGUACGACGACUCGGCCUACGGGGCCGAGGUGCACCGGUUCGAGCCGAUCGGCCUGGC
This 68-nucleotide transfer RNA is filed under the name Sphaerisporangium siamense. RNAcentral describes it as "tRNA-Arg". The record is from RNAcentral. Lineage: Bacteria; Bacillati; Actinomycetota; Actinomycetes; Streptosporangiales; Streptosporangiaceae.